Molecule: transfer RNA, 75 nt
Filed under: Burkholderiales bacterium
Lineage: Bacteria; Pseudomonadati; Pseudomonadota; Betaproteobacteria; Burkholderiales
Also listed under: 1 other name
Description: tRNA-Thr
Rfam family: tRNA
About the family: Transfer RNA (tRNA) molecules are approximately 80 nucleotides in length. Their secondary structure includes four short double-helical elements and three loops (D, anti-codon, and T loops). Further hydrogen bonds mediate the characteristic L-shaped molecular structure. tRNAs have two regions of fundamental functional importance: the anti-codon, which is responsible for specific mRNA codon recognition, and the 3' end, to which the tRNAs corresponding amino acid is attached (by aminoacyl-tRNA synthetases). tRNAs cope with the degeneracy of the genetic code in two manners: having more than one tRNA (with a specific anti-codon) for a particular amino acid; and 'wobble' base-pairing, i.e. permitting non-standard base-pairing at the 3rd anti-codon position.
Source: RNAcentral
GCCGGCAUAGCUCAGUGGUAGAGCAACCGCCUUGUAAGCGGUAGGUCGUCUGUUCAAUCCAGACUGUCGGCACCA